Aethalodelphis obliquidens (Pacific white-sided dolphin) is the source of this 3768-nucleotide long non-coding RNA. RefSeq lists it as uncharacterized. Lineage: Eukaryota; Metazoa; Chordata; Mammalia; Artiodactyla; Delphinidae. The record is from RefSeq and is a predicted model, not a curated record. The transcript has 3 exons.
CUCCCGCCCCGAGUGACUGAGGGCCGAGAGGCCCCGCCCCCGCCGCCCGGAGUGGACCCGGUGCCCGCGGAGCCCGAACUCCCGGCUGGGGCGUCUCUUCCAUCCGCUGGCGCUGAGCAGCCCCGGAGCCCGCGGGGAGGGCGGUGCGACCGCCGACCCCGCCCACGGCCUUCACACAGCCCUGGGGAUGGACCCGGCGGGCGGAAGCCCAGUCCGCCCUCGGGGCCGCGCGUCAGUUCGGUCCAGUGUUCCUGGUCAAGCAACCGUCCUGAGAUGCUGUCCUCCAAAUGGCUACCCAGGCUCUCUCCAUUGUGGUUCUCCACUCAGCCAGCAGAUGGGGAAAGAAAAAGGAAGAUCACUAGAGAAGAGGCAGGCUUGAAAGGGGAGACAUCGAUUUGGUCCACAUUCCAUUGGCUAGAACUCAGUCAUAUGGCCAAGGAGGCUGGAAAAAGUAGUGAGCUGUGUGCCCAGGAAAAAAAGGAAACACUAGCAAAUAUUUAACUAGUUUUUGCCAGCUGCAAUGGGAGCUAAAUGUUUUCUGGCUUAUUUCCAAUGAAAAUAGAGUGCCUCAGUCCCUGUAUUCUAAGAAAGACACUGAGAUUCACCUUGAGUCACAGGCACAUCCCUGAACAGACGAACUGACCAGGGGACUGCAAUGGGCUGAUGGCCUCAAGCCCACCAGUCCACCUGUUGAAUGAGAGGUGGGGUCGGCUUUCCCUGAAAUGUCUGGACUGCACGGGAAAGAGAUUCACAGCAGCUAAAUGUACUCAGGACUCUCCGAUUACCACUGUCUUUCCAAUUUGGGACUUGGCUGUCAUCAAUCCAGGGAAAGAUAUUCAGGAAACUUUCCCUUUAAGGUUAGAAGUGCUUUGAAAUCUAGAGCAUAUUCCUGAAACACCAUCGUGUUUCCUGAACAGACCUGUUCAGUGAAGUUUCCCACCCUUCACUACAAGCCCUAAGUGGUAACAGCCCAGUGGAGGCGUGGGGAGAGAGAGAGAGGAUGUACAGAAGAGGGACAGGCAUUCAGAGACAGAAUACUGGUGCUUUGGUCUCUGUCGCCCCACUCCAGCCAGGGGGCGCUUCAGAGUAGAGAUCACCAUCUUUUAACCCUGUCAAACCUGGACACUACACAUGUGUGCUCAGAGCAAGGCACCAAUUCAACAAACAUUUUAUUUAGGGCUUAUCAUAUUCCAGGCUCUGUUGUUAGGGAAAGCAUCCCCCAGUGAGAGGAUCAACAUAUGGAAAUAAUUUAAAUAUCUAUCUAUCUAUCUAAUGACUAUUAGAAAAACCACAGAAUUAUCUUAAAAGAUGAGCUAGAAUCAUAUGUAUUGACAGGGAAGGAUACUCGAGACUUACGGUGAGGGGAAAAAGUUUACUAACAGGCUGUAUAGUAUGGUCCCUGUUUUGAUUGUUUUUAAAGUAUAGAUAAAUGAUCAGAGUUGGAUUUACGGCAAGGCUAAGGCUCAGAAGCUCUCACUUGCAGAGAUCUUGUUCAAAACUCUGAACUUAAUUUUGUAUUUUUCAUAAAGAGGGUCUCCAAAAAAGCAUAAGUAUGAGGUCAAAAUCUGAAUCAUUCCCUGAUAUUUAUAUACAUGACCAACUUUAUGGCCAACCGUGGUUAUCUCAGGCAGUUGGAAUGCAGAGACUUUCUCUUUUCUAUCAUCCCAAAGAAUGCCUCCUGAAAUUCCUUUAUAGCCAUCCCUUCUCUUACCCAUAACCCCUGGCCAGCCCUCCCUGUGUUUCUACACCUAUCUCUGAGUGAGAUAACUCAUGGGCUUUGUAAACAGAAGUCCAUUAUUCAAAUAGUAGAUACUAUCUCUACCCUAUGUCCCAGCCAACCUAUGGGACACCCUCUCUCAUCAUCUUCCUCCAAGUUCUGCUUUUCCCUGUUUCCCAGUGACCAGUAUCAUGACCUUCCACUUCAUUCCUUUUAACCAAUAUUCCCUUAAUCUCCUAUUGUCUGUUUCUCUCCCACUCUGCUCAUUUUCUGACAAAAAGCAAAGACCAAAAAUUACAUAUAUGUGUUUCUAGGACAGAGACUUUAUUUCUCACUAGUGAUAAAAAUUUUCUAGCACAAUAAAUAUGCCUAAAAUCUACUUAAAACUUAAGACAAAUAAAAAUAGCUAGUAAAGUCCAUAAAACCAACAGCAGUACUUUAAUUAGAUUAUGGUGCUUUUUUGCAUAUGUUUUCCUUAUGUGGUAAUGUUUGGUGCCCAGAGAGGCUUAGGGCUAUUUACUGCUGUCUAAAAUUGGCUUUUUGGACCAGCUACACUUCCUUAAGCAUCUUCACAUUUUUUUUAUUUUGCAUUACAAAUCAAAAAUGCUACAUUCAGCCAGUAGUUCAGUGCAAUUAGUAGACUGUGAACUAUUUGAUCAUCAUGGAAUCAGUGCAGUAAUUAUCUGUGAUUAAACUUAAUUUACGUGAAUUGAAUAUGCAAGAAAUAUAAUUUAACUGUACCCUGUAUUAGUUCAAAUUAAGUUCAACUGCAUAUAAUAGUUAGCUGCUUUCUCUUGCAAAGGGAUUUUACAAAUUCUAGGCAGUUUGGGGUUGCCGUGGCCAGGUGUCCCAAAUUCUUUAAGAACUCAAUCUCCUUCUGGCUGUCAGCUCUUAUAAUCUCUAAAGUGUGGGCCUGGUAUUCAUGGUCUAGGAAGGUAACUGGCUCUCCGGCCAUCUCAUCUAUGUUCCAGGCUGGCAACAGAUGAGGAAGAAUAAACACAUAAACACUUAAUAAGGAGACUUCACCCAGAAAUGCUGCACAGUAUUCUCACACCUCUAUGGCAAAUACCCCAACAUCUGACUCAGUGAACUGUUCAUGAGAAUAGGAAAUGUCAUCUUUUAAUUGGACUGCAAUGCACCAACUAAAAAUUUGGGAUCUCUUACUAAAGGAAAAGGGGAGAUUAGGUUGAGUGAAGAAAUUUGCAUUCCCUGCCACGGUCUUAACAUAAAUAAUAUCAUGAUGAUCUAAAGAUGUUAUAUCUCUUCAUAAUACUUUGAAUUCUGUUAAAAGAUAAAGCACAUAAAAACCUUAAUAAAAAAAAGUAAAACCUAGUUCAAUCAGUAUAGUGAAUCAUCAGAAUUUAAAUAGAUUCAUAGUGUCAGCAGUGCACAGAUGGGCUGCAUUUGAGCAGAGGUUGCUUGGAAGGAUGCAGAAUACUCAGGAAGCAACCACUUCUUUUCCGUCAUUGGGAAACGGGUAAAAGCAGAACUUGGAGGAAGAUGAUGAGAGAGGGUGUCUUAUGGGCUGGCUGGGACAUAGGGUAGAGAUGGUAUCUACUCUUUGAACAGUUGUGGUCAUGAAGAUCUGGAAAGUGCAUAUCAGAUCUGCGUGUUUGACUGUGGAAUUCAGUGCUGCAGGACAGAAGGAAGCAGAAGGUAAGGUUCCUGUCCCAAAAGGCGUUUCCAUUUAGGCUGGGAAACAAGUUCAAUAAAUCCUUCAACUUUUCAUAUAUUCAGUAUACAAGAGCUCUCAGUACAGUGAUAGAAGACAAUCCACAAGUCGGUGUGUGAUUUUUUUUUUUCCAGUCAAAUGCAUAGACGAUUGGUGCUGUAAGUGAUUGCAUGUGUUCUGCUGAUGAGGCAGUAAGAGUGUAACUAAAGGAGGAAGAGGUUUGAAAAGGAGUGGGUAAGGAAAUCCAGAUUGCAGAUUGGGGAGUUAACAUUUAUUGAGCUCCGCUCUGUGUCAGGCACUUUGUCAGGUGCUUUAUGUAAUCUGUGGGAUAAUUACUGUUAUUCCAUUUUUCAGAUGAGGAGUCUGAGGCUCACAUCAG